GACGAACGCUGGCGGCGUGCUUAACACAUGCAAGUCGAACGGAAAGGCCCUGCUUGCAGGGUACUCGAGUGGCGAACGGGUGAGUAACACGUGGGUGAUCUGCCCUGCACUUCGGGAUAAGCCUGGGAAACUGGGUCUAAUACCGGAUAGGAGCCACUUUUAGUGUGAUGGUUGGAAAGUUUUUUCGGUGUAGGAUGAGCGCGCGGCCUAUCAGCUUGUUGGUGGGGUAAUGGCCUACAAAGGAGGCGACGGGUAGCCGGCCUGAGAGGGUGGAAGGACAAAUGGGGAAUGAGACAAGGCACAGAAGACGACGGGAGGAAGCAGGGGGGAAUAUGGCGAAAGGGGCGGAAGCAUGAUGCAGCGACGCCGGGUGAGGGAUGAAGGACUUCGGGUUGUAAACAUCUUUCAGUAGGGAAGAAGAGAAAGUGACGGUACCUGCAGAAGAAGAACCGGCUAACUAAGUG
This 464-nucleotide ribosomal RNA is filed under the name uncultured bacterium. RNAcentral describes it as "partial 16S ribosomal RNA". It matches the Rfam family "Bacterial small subunit ribosomal RNA", at positions 28 to 507 of the family's 1533-position model. The record is from RNAcentral.